This 253-nucleotide ribosomal RNA is filed under the name uncultured bacterium. RNAcentral's name for it is "partial 16S ribosomal RNA". It matches the Rfam family "Bacterial small subunit ribosomal RNA", at positions 524 to 776 of the family's 1533-position model. The record is from RNAcentral.
UACGAAGGGGGCUAGCGUUGCUCGGAAUUACUGGGCGUAAAGCGCACGUAGGCGGAUUGUUAAGUCGGGGGUGAAAUCCUGGAGCUCAACUCCAGAACUGCCUUCGAUACUGGCGAUCUCGAGUUCGGGAGAGGUGAGUGGAACUGCGAGUGUAGAGGUGAAAUUCGUAGAUAUUCGGAAGAACACCAGUGGCGAAGGCGACUCGCUGGACAAGUAUUGACGCUGAGGUGCGAAAGCGUGGGGAGCAAACAGG